RNAcentral lists this ribosomal RNA (492 nucleotides) under uncultured bacterium. RNAcentral describes it as "partial 16S ribosomal RNA". It matches the Rfam family "Bacterial small subunit ribosomal RNA", at positions 28 to 507 of the family's 1533-position model. The record is from RNAcentral.
GAUGAACGCUAGCUACAGGCUUAACACAUGCAAGUCGAGGGGAAACGACAUCGAAAGCUUGCUUUUGAUGGGCGUCGACCGGCGCACGGGGGAGUAACGCGUAUCCAACCUGCCCAUCACUUGGGAAUAACCUUGCGAAAGUAAUACUAAUACCCAAUGAUAUCCCACGAAGGCAUCGGAAUGGGAUAAAAGAUUUAUCGGUGAUGGAUGGGGAUGCGUCUGAUUAGCUUGUUGGCGGGGUAACGGCCCACCAAGGCAACGAUCAGUAGGGGUUCUGAGAGGAAGGUCCCCCACAUUGGAACCGGGCCCCGGUCCAAACUCCUACGGGAGACAGCAGUGAGGAAUAUUGGUCAAUGGGCGAGAGCCUGACCCAGCCAAGUAGCGUGCAGGAAGACGGCCCUAUGGGUUGUAAACUGCUUUUAUAAGGGAAUAAAGUGGGUCACGUGUGACUUUUUGCCUGUACCUUAUGAAUAAGGACCGGCUAAUUCCGUG